GUAGGUGGCAAGCGUUGUCCGGAAUUAUUGGGCGUAAAGCGCGCGCAGGCGGUUCUUUAAGUCUGAUGUGAAAGCCCACGGCUCAACCGCGGAGGGUCAUUGGAAACUGGAGAACUUGAGUACAGAAGAGGAAAGCGGAAUUCCACGUGUAGCGGUGAAAUGCGUAGAGAUGUGGAGGAACACCAGUGGCGAAGGCGGCUUUCUGGUCUGUAACUGACGCUGAGGCGCGAAAGCGUGGGGAGCAAACAGGAUUAGAUACCCUGGUAGUCCACACCGUAAACGAUGAGUGCUAAGUGUUAGGGGGGUUUCCGCCCCCCUUAGUGCUGCAGCUAACGCAUUAAGCACUCCGCCUGGGAGUACGGCCGCAAGGCUG
Molecule: ribosomal RNA, 373 nt
Filed under: uncultured organism
Description: partial 16S ribosomal RNA
Rfam family: Bacterial small subunit ribosomal RNA
Source: RNAcentral